This 671-nucleotide small RNA is filed under the name Pongo abelii (Sumatran orangutan). RNAcentral's name for it is "processed transcript". The record is from RNAcentral. Lineage: Eukaryota; Metazoa; Chordata; Mammalia; Primates; Hominidae.
AUAGUUGAGAGAUUAGGGUCCUCUCAAAUAUUUCCUAGGUAUGCACACAACCUGCAUAUGUGUGUGGCCUUCUUGAUUUUCAGGAAUUUGCUAGAACUUUUCAAAGCCUCCCAUGGAUGUCUUAUUCUUGAGCUUUUCCUUUUAAGUUUUUUGGUCAGCUCUUUGUUUGCCUCAAAUGGUAUUUCAACCUCUGGUAGUUGUAUUAUUUUUAAAAAUUGUCACAUUUGUUUUACACAAACAAAAAAAUUGUUUUUAAGACUAAGUUGUUUUGGACUCUACUUUUUUAGAGUGAAUGUUAACAUCCAUUGUUUAAUGGAAGGGUUCAGGUUCAACUGGCACAGUGCCAGCUCCUCGUCUGGCUCCCACAGGUGUCAGUUGGGCUGACAAGGUAAAGGCUCAUCAUACAGGCUCUACUGCUUCUUCAGAAAUAACACCUGCCCAGUCUUGCCCACCAAUGACAGUGCAGAAGGCCUCACGCAAAAAUGAACGGAAAGAUGCUGAAGGAUGGGAGACUGUUCAGAGAGGAAGGCCUAUUCGUUCUCGAUCAACAGCAGUGAUGCCAAAAGUUUCAUUGGUAACAGAAGCUGCAAGAUCAAAGGAUGACAGUGAUAAAGAAAAUGUAUGUCUUUUACCUGAUGAAAGCAUACGGGAAGGUGAAUUUGUUGGAGAUG